GAUGAAGAACGUAGCGAAAUGCGAUAAGUAAUGUGAAUUGCAGAAUUCAGUGAAUCAUCGAAUCUUUGAACGCGCAUUGCGCCGCCUGGUAUUCCGGGGGGCAUGCCUGUUCGAGCGUCAUUACAACCCUCAAGCUCUGCUUGGUAUUGGGCCCCGCCAGUUCUGGCGGGCCCUAAAGUCAGUGGCGGUGCCUUCCGGCUCCGAGCGUAGUAAUUCUUCUCGCUCUGGAGACCCGGUUGUGUGCUUGCCAACAACCCCCAAUUUUUUAAGGUUGACCUCGGAUCAGGUAGGGAUACCCGCUGAACUUAAGCAUAUCAAUAAGCGGAGGA
RNAcentral lists this unclassified non-coding RNA (329 nucleotides) under soil metagenome. RNAcentral describes it as "partial contains 5.8S ribosomal RNA, internal transcribed spacer 2, and large subunit ribosomal RNA". The stretch from base 1 to 120 matches the Rfam family "5.8S ribosomal RNA", at positions 35 to 154 of the family's 154-position model. The record is from RNAcentral.